CUCACGCGUCCGCCCGCGCCCGGCUGCGACCUGCGGCCGCCGAGGUACCCCGGCCCUGCUUCCGCUCAGCCGGCAGGGAGCGGCCCGGGGAGGGGGCGGAAAGAAGUCACUCCCCUUCUAAAAAGUGGUGGUGUCCCCCUCCGGCUUUCGUGAGCUCCUUAUUGCCCGCACCUGAACCCGGCUUAACUGAUCCCUGCCCUUGCUUCUCCUUGACUUGGUUUGAAUUGAAGGGGCAAUACAAGCGUUUUAAUUGAAAUAAGCAGCUCGGGAGUAUUUUAUUGGCGCUCCAGAGCACUGUGUGUCUGUCCCGUCCCCUCCACCCCCAGCAAUAAACGCAGAGUGGGUGAGUGAAAGGAAGGUGCAGUCCACAUUUCAGGAUUUUUCCUGGACCCUUCCUCCACUCUGCUGUCCAUCCUGUCAUCGCCUAUGAAACUGUGUGCUAAAGUCUGUCAUUUCUUGUGCAUGAAAAAUGAGCUGGGCAGUACAGCCUGUGAAGAGGAUUUGGCACUUGGAAGGAACCCAACACACAGCAUGAGAAAGGCUGUUGAAAGGGAGAUCUUUCAUGAUCUUCCCAUGAGCAUGGCUGAACCAUUACAUCAUCUGGGAUUUUGUGACCUUGCAAAGUGGAUGUUCUACUUGCAUGAGGAAGGUCCCAUUAAAUCCAAACCAAGAUACCAUAUGUUUAAAAGAUAAGUGUUUGAGAACUAAUGCUUUUAUCUUACUAAACUGUGUUCUGAGAUUAAUGUUUAACAUCUUAUAGUUCUAUGAUGCAUGUUUGAUUAUGACUCAAUAAUGACAUUUGAACUAUCCAUACAGUGCAAACUUGAAGUCCACUGUAAAAGAGAAGUAAAAUACAAUGAAAAUAGAAACAAACAAAAAGUUACUCAGAGUGUCUUAGAGGUUCCCUUUUCAUAUUUUAAUGUGCAGUAAUACAGAGAACGGCAUGGCAAGAAGACCAGUGGGUAUUUUGGUUAGUUCCUGGUACAACUACGGAAACCACAAAACCACAUCAAUCUCUAGUUGGCUCAACCAGUUACAACAUAAAACAUUUCUGAUUUUGUUUCUAGAACUGCAAACCACAGGAAUAAAGAAGGUUUAGCUUAUUUUCAGCAAUCAACUUAGAUUGCUUUCAGAACCUCAUUGACAUUUAAAGUAAAUGUCUCAGCGCAGUUCUUGGGUGUGACAUGAAGCAAGCCACGCAAGCACUGGUACCGUGUGUGCCUCAGGAGCUGUGAAAAUUUAAUUCUGACUAUUUUCUAAAAUUACUUCUGAUUCCUCCAGGAAUCAACAUAUCUCCUUGCCAUAUUUUAUGUCAUGCUACAUAGGGAAAAGAUGGUUAUCAGUGCAUUUAAAUAAUCAAGUUUUAUUUUCCUGUAUCAACUGCUUCACAAAAUAGACAGUGAGUAAUACAAAUUGGGGGAAAAGAUUGUUCUCUGUUCUCAGCAGUUGUUAAGUGACUAUGUAUAGCAGGACUGAUGACUACUGAUCUGGAGAUAAUGUUGUUUUCUUUGCUUAAAAGGUGUACCAUUACCUUAUGAAGCCUUAAGAAGCCUAUGCUUCUUACCCAGUGGCAUGCAGCAGAUACAGCCAAGCAUGCAUCAAUCCCACUGGUUUGGAAUGCUGCUGAGGCAAGGAGCCAGUAUCUCAGCCCAUCACCUGACAGGUUAAAUUCUGUGGUUAUGUCCAGCCAAGCCUCUGAAUGACAGUGCUGACUGCAGAGGGCAUCCUGAGAGUUUUCUUAGCAGUGUCCAAACAGCCAUCUCAAAGCAGCUAUGCAAGAUUCUCUAGGAUCCCUAGAGCAGGACAGAUACGCUCCAUAUGUCCCAGUCAUUGGAGGACUAUGCACUGAAAGCAAGGCUGACCCAUUUAGAAAGUUUGCCCCUCCCCAAUAAUGAUGAUAUUGAUGAUAUAGACAACCCCUCCAUGGUCAGCUAUACUGGAUAUGCAAGCUGCCUAACAGCUGCAGCACAAUCAGAAAUCCAGGGACAUGGGAACAUAGGAAAUGUUUUCUACAUCUGAAAAAGUCUGAACCUUGAAGCAUAAUUAAAUCUUUCUGUAAAUGAAAGGUCAAACAACGACAUUUUUCUUUGAUGUAGAUCAUAGACAAAUAGAUUUUAGUUUUAAGUAUAGCAGUACUUUUCAUCAAUCACUGCAAUAUUUAAACUGAAAAUAACCUAGAAACACCUCUGUGUUUGACAUCUGUAACCAAAUGAAUGCCUGGUUAUUCUUCCUGCCACAAAUUCCAUCAGUUCUUCUUUUCUCUUUCAUCUGGCUAGAAAAGAAAAGUUAUGUUGAAGUUAACUCAUUGUAUAAAAACAGUGGUCUGAUGACCCAAUACAUGUUAGGAACUGAAUUUCUUCGUGAUUUAUGAAUCUUUUAGUAAUAUAAUGACAACAUCAAAUAUAUGUUCCAGAUAACUAUAUUACAACCAGUAUUUUUUGUGGAUUCAUGAUCUGGUAAAGAGGAAUAUGAGGAAAGUCACCAUAAUUUAGGAUAGCCAAAUCCAGGAAGACAUCAAAGAAUAUCAGAAAUAUUUAUUAAUGGAAGAUGACUAAUUCUGAAAUAUCUAGGGCUUUCAAUUUUUCCUAUAGGUAAGUGAUAGAGCACAAAAAAAUCAGUUCUUAGGUUUGUGUGUUUACUUAGUAAGGGACUGUCUGAAAUGGUGGCAAUCUGAAGGAUGUCUAUGACCUGUUUAAAAAUGUAGUCUGGGAUAGUCCUUCAUUUGGGUAUGAUUCCAAGGGAAACAGACCUCAUGUGGCAGACCUGCUACUCUAUCACACUCACCUCUUAAACUGUUUCAUCUUCAUUACUCAUCUAUGAGAAAUAUUUCUCAAAGUCUUCUAUUAAUCAUCUCUAGAGCAAAUAACAACUUAAUUGAUUCAUUGUUCAAGAAAGAAAACAUUUGAAUCAUUAUAUCAUAUAAAAAAUUAUCAAAAUGUGUUAAUUCAUCUUCUCAUUCCUUACAGAAGGAUUCAGAUUGUCUUCUAUUGGCAAAACAACAUAUUUCAAAGAAUAAAGAUAAUUUUGGAAAAUUAAAGCUUUCCUCGUCUAAGUGUCUAGCUAUAAAAUAUAAUUGAGUACUAUAUGAUAAGGCAAAAACUGAAAGAAAAUCACUUUUCUGUUUUCUGAGCAAUUUCCUGGGAGUUCUCUUUAUAAUAUGUUCUAACUGAGUAUUAAAGUCUACCAUAUAGGUUGUUAUCUGUGGAAUUGUUUUGGCCCAGUACCAUUAUACUUCUAACAUUAAUGGAUAAGUCCUUAACUAUUAACUUUACUAUCAGUACGUUAUUUAAAAUUAAAUACAAAAAACACUAAGGAGAAAACUUAAAUGCCCCAUAUGUAUUUAAAAAUCUAAUUCUUAAAAUAUUGACCUUCACAAAACUGAAAUGAGGUUUACUUCUAAGGACCUUAUAUUUUGAUUUUGAACAGCUUAUGCAGUAUUUUUAUGAACUAAAAUAAACCUAUUUGAAGUCAUGAAUAUAGUUUUCUGAGGAGCUUUUGGUUUGCUUUGUUUUUUUGGUUUUUUUUAAUCAAGUAGAAUUGGUGAUUUAAUAAGCAUAUGAGCCUA
Molecule: long non-coding RNA, 3565 nt
Organism: Parus major (Great Tit)
Lineage: Eukaryota; Metazoa; Chordata; Aves; Passeriformes; Paridae
Exons: 3
Source: RefSeq, a predicted model, not a curated record